GAUGAACGCUGGCGGCGUGCCUAAUACAUGCAAGUCGAGCGAACAGAUGAGGAGCUUGCUCCUCUGACGUUAGCGGCGGACGGGUGAGUAAUACGUGGAUAACCUACCUAUAAGACUGGGAUAACUUCGGGAAACCGGAGCUAAUACCGGAUAAUAUAUUGAACCGCAUGGUUCAAUAGUGAAAGACGGUUUUGCUGUCACUUAUAGAUGGAUCCGCGCCGCAUUAGCUAGUUGGUAAGGUAACGGCUUACCAAGGCAACGAUGCGUAGCCGACCUGAGAGGGUGAUCGGCCACACUGGAACUGAGACACGGUCCAGACUCCUACGGGAGGCAGCAGUAGGGAAUCUUCCGCAAUGGGCGAAAGCCUGACGGAGCAACGCCGCGUGAGUGAUGAAGGUCUUCGGAUCGUAAAACUCUGUUAUUAGGGAAGAACAAAUGCGUAAGUAACUAUGCACGUCUUGACGGUACCUAAUCAGAAAGCCACGGCUAACUACGUG
RNAcentral lists this ribosomal RNA (497 nucleotides) under uncultured bacterium. RNAcentral's name for it is "partial 16S ribosomal RNA". It matches the Rfam family "Bacterial small subunit ribosomal RNA", at positions 28 to 507 of the family's 1533-position model. The record is from RNAcentral.